RNAcentral lists this transfer RNA (75 nucleotides) under bacterium. RNAcentral describes it as "tRNA-Phe". It matches the Rfam family "tRNA". Rfam says of the family: Transfer RNA (tRNA) molecules are approximately 80 nucleotides in length. Their secondary structure includes four short double-helical elements and three loops (D, anti-codon, and T loops). The record is from RNAcentral.
GCCGAGGUAGCUCAGUGGUAGAGCGAAGGCCUGAAGAGCCUUGCGUCGUGGGUUCGAUCCCCACCCUCGGCACCA